RNAcentral lists this ribosomal RNA (345 nucleotides) under uncultured bacterium. Its description in RNAcentral is "bacterial SSU rRNA". It matches the Rfam family "Bacterial small subunit ribosomal RNA", at positions 556 to 901 of the family's 1533-position model. The record is from RNAcentral.
GGGUGUAAAGCGUGCGCAGGCGGCUUUGCAAGACAGAUGUGAAAUCCCCGGGCUCAACCUGGGAACUGCAUUUGUGACUGCAAGGCUGGAGUGCGGCAGAGGGGGAUGGAAUUCCGCGUGUAGCAGUGAAAUGCGUAGAUAUGCGGAGGAACACCGAUGGCGAAGGCAAUCCCCUGGGCCUGCACUGACGCUCAUGCACGAAAGCGUGGGGAGCAAACAGGAUUAGAUACCCUGGUAGUCCACGCCCUAAACGAUGUCAACUGGUUGUUGGACGGCUUGCUGUUCAGUAACGAAGCUAACGCGUGAAGUUGACCGCCUGGGGAGUACGGCCGCAAGGUUGAAACU